This 404-nucleotide ribosomal RNA is filed under the name Actinomycetes bacterium. RNAcentral describes it as "Actinobacteria bacterium partial 16S ribosomal RNA". It matches the Rfam family "Bacterial small subunit ribosomal RNA", at positions 355 to 776 of the family's 1533-position model. The record is from RNAcentral. Lineage: Bacteria; Bacillati; Actinomycetota; Actinomycetes.
UGGGGAAUAUUGGACAAUGGGCGCAAGCCUGAUCCAGCCAUGCCGCGUGAGUGAUGAAGGCCCUAGGGUUGUAAAGCUCUUUCACCGGUGAAGAUAAUGACGGUAACCGGAGAAGAAGCUCCGGCUAACUUCGUGCCAGCAGCCGCGGUAAUACGAAGGGGGCUAGCGUUGUUCGGAUUUACUGGGCGUAAAGCGCACGUAGGCGGACUUUUAAGUCAGGGGUGAAAUCCCGGGGCUCAACCCCGGAACUGCCUUUGAUACUGGAAGUCUUGAGUAUGGUAGAGGUUAGUGGAAUUCCGAGUGUAGAGGUGAAAUUCGUAGAUAUUCGGAGGAACACCAGUGGCGAAGGCGGCUCACUGGACCAUUACUGACGCUGAGGUGCGAAAGCGUGGGGAGCAAACAGG